CCUCUCUUACAUAAUCCAU
RNAcentral lists this small nuclear RNA (19 nucleotides) under Arabidopsis thaliana (thale cress). RNAcentral's name for it is "snRNA_09645". Lineage: Eukaryota; Viridiplantae; Streptophyta; Magnoliopsida; Brassicales; Brassicaceae. The record is from RNAcentral.